Molecule: long non-coding RNA, 858 nt
Organism: Oreochromis niloticus (Nile tilapia)
Lineage: Eukaryota; Metazoa; Chordata; Actinopteri; Cichliformes; Cichlidae
Exons: 2
Source: RefSeq, a predicted model, not a curated record
CUUGUCUCCUCUGGUGUGGCAGGAGACAUGUUGGUGGAAUCUGGGGAGGACUGUCUUUAAGUUGGUGUGGUUGAAAUUGGUGACUGAGGCCCAAACUUCUGCCUCUCAGAUCUGGGUCUUUUCUAAAUGUAGACUUGAAUUUGACCACGUAGGCGGGGUCAUCAUCUGAGCUCUCCAUCAGCCGAGAGAGAUGAAAAAACACAGGCAGAAUCACAGAGCAUGAAACCAACUUUUCUCCUCCCAGAUGUUUAGUCACAGACCUGCAACACUAACAAUAAUCAAAGAUUCAAAUGAGAAUGUAGAACAUUCAUUUACUUAUAUACACAAACAUGUCCUCUACAUAUGUCCUCGCAACUUUGGUGUUGUGUGUGGUGAGGGCGUCCCUGAGCGGCUGCUCGUUUCUGCAGAUCCUUUUGAAUCAUGUGCAGAGUGGAAAUCCAUCUGGUUGGACUGUCUUGUAGCAGUGACUCUUUCUUUUGACCAUGUUCAGUUUGUUGCUGUUCUAAUUCUGCAGUGCUUGCUGGACUGCAUUUAAAGUGGCCCACAACCUUUGUGCAUCUGGCCAGGACACUGUCAAACUCACUGUUCUGCAGAGAUACUGUGACAGAAUGUUGGAGAAAGUGCGCGAUGCAAGGCAGACGUCUGGCCUUUGACACAAAGAUCCUCCCAGUGAAAACAGGUUCCAGGAGGAGCAUCUACCAUGACUGGUUGCAGGGUGAGGGGAAAGAGAAGAGAUGAGCUCAGAGAGACAAGAACAAAACACAAACUAAGGAGAGAGAAGACAAAAGUUAAGGACAUGCAGUAGUGACAUAUAAAAGCAUCAGGAGUGAAAAGAGGGGAGUGGAGAAGACAGCAGAG